CAGUCCGCCGCGGUAAUACGUAGGUCCCGAGCGUUGUCCGGAUUUAUUGGGCGUAAAGCGAGCGCAGGCGGUUAGAUAAGUCUGAAGUUAAAGGCUGUGGCUUAACCAUAGUACGCUGUGGAAACUGUUUAACUUGAGUGCAAGAGGGGAGAGUGGAAUUCCAUGUGUAGCGGUGAAAUGCGUAGAUAUAUGGAGGAACACCGGUGGCGAAAGCGGCUCUCUGGCUUGUAACUGACGCUGAGGCUCGAAAGCGUGGGGAGCAAACAGGAUUAGAUACCCCGGUAGUCCCUGUCUCUUAUAC
Molecule: ribosomal RNA, 301 nt
Filed under: uncultured bacterium
Lineage: Bacteria
Description: partial 16S ribosomal RNA
Rfam family: Bacterial small subunit ribosomal RNA
Source: RNAcentral